This 418-nucleotide ribosomal RNA is filed under the name uncultured bacterium. Its description in RNAcentral is "bacterial SSU rRNA". It matches the Rfam family "Bacterial small subunit ribosomal RNA", at positions 358 to 773 of the family's 1533-position model. The record is from RNAcentral.
GGAAUAUUGGACAAUGGAGGCAACUCUGAUCCAGCCAUCCCGCGUGCAGGAUGACGGCCCUAUGGGUUGUAAACUGCUUUUAUGAGGGAAGAACCGAACCCAUUUAUGGGUUUCUGACGGUACCUCAGGCAUAAGCACCGGCUAACUCCGUGCCAGCAGCCGCGGUAAUACGGAGGGUGCAAGCGUUAUCCGGAAUUACUGGGUUUAAAGGGUGCGUAGGCGGCUUAGUAAGUCAGGGGUGAAAGCCCACCGCUCAACGGUGGAAUUGCCUUUGAUACUGCUGAGCUUGAAUCAGGUUGAGGUUGGCGGAACGUGACAUGUAGCGGUGAAAUGCAUAGAUAUGUCAUAGAACACCGAUUGCGAAGGCAGCUGGCUAGACCUUGAUUGACGCUGAGGCACGAAAGCGUGGGGAGCGAAC